GACUGACAUUCUAUUUGUUUCUCUUCCACCUUCCACAAGGAUCAUGAAGAUCUUUUGUCUCGUGUAACAAACGAUGUAACAGCUUCUAUUCUCCUGCAGGAAGGAGGAGGAGGAGGAGGAGGAGGAGGAGGAGGUGAGCGUCUUCAGGAAGACCCGGCAUCCUUCCUCCAAGACGUCUGAGUAUGAAAACAUUCUGCGUUUGUCGACGCCCAGACCCAGGAGCUGCGGCCCUCAGGAAGAUGGGCGUCCUCACACGUCUUUCUGUGAGAGGAUUUGUCCCAUCUGGCACGUCGACCCCAGGRUGAAGAACGCCGUCAUCACUCCCAGACUGCUGCAGCUCUCAGAACCCAAGCGAACCCACCCGGACCACCAGAACAACAAGGAGAGCGCCGCGUCCGUCGUCUCCUUAGCCUCCAGAACCGCCAGCGCCUCUCAGAGACUGGUCCGGUUGUCUCGACCCAAACUGAGGGAAAGCAACGUCUGCUGCCCGCUGGGACGCCUCGAGGAACCCAUCUGGGCCGUGUCGCCGGCGGCGCUCAGAGCCACAGGAUCGGGUCGACUCCAGACCCUGGCAGCUCCGAAGCAGCUUCACAGAAACUACCUUCCUCCUCGAGAAGCAGAGUGGAGCCGGAGAAACUGAGCCUCGGACCAGAACAUGACCAGAACCUCCAGUUCCUGACCCACCAAACCAGAAACCAGACAGGUUUGAACCAGUCGCUGAAAAAAAAUAGAAAGUUUGAAGACAAAUGUUUGUUUCAGGAAGGAAGUCAGUUUAUUCCUUGUUGUCUGUUAGCAAAAUAUCUCACCAACAAUUCAAGGAGAUUUAUAAACUCAGGCAGGAAAUCUGAACCUUUCCUGUAGAAGUGAAGCUCAGAGUCGCCUGAUCUGAAAUCAGAAAACUUAAUUUGAUACUUUUUUAGUUUGAUUUGACCUCUGUCUGCAGGAAGUUAAACUUUGCUCUUUUUUGCACAAAAAUAAUUAUUUUUAUUUAUUAUUCAGUGUUUUUUCUAAGAUUUUGCUUCAUUUGCUUAUUUCCCCUGAGCUGUUCUUCAUAAAUCUGAUCAAAUCCAUCAAAAAUAAAAUCAUUUUUUAUCACAUACAAACCAUAACAUUUAUUGGCUGAAAAAAUGUUAAAUAAUUGAUAAAAAUUGAGAAAAUUCAAUGAGUUAAAGAAGAUUUGUUGAAGAAACAAAAAACUACCGUUAAAGUUAAAACUUUAG
Austrofundulus limnaeus is the source of this 1220-nucleotide RNA transcript. It is a transcript of the gene named testicular haploid expressed gene protein-like, with no coding region annotated. NCBI's taxonomy places the organism in Eukaryota, Metazoa, Chordata, Actinopteri, Cyprinodontiformes, Rivulidae. The transcript is spliced from 4 exons. The record is from RefSeq and is a predicted model, not a curated record.